UACGUAGGGGGCAAGCGUUGUCCGGAUUUAUUGGGCGUAAAGAGCGUGUAGGCGGCCAAGCAGGUCCGCUGUGAAAACUCGAGGCUCAACCUCGAGACGUCGGUGGAAACCGUUUGGCUAGAGUCCGGAAGAGGAGAGUGGAAUUCCCGGUGUAGCGGUGAAAUGCGCAGAUAUCGGGAAGAACACCCGUGGCGAAGGCGGCUCUCUGGGACGGUACUGACGCUGAGACGCGAAAGCGUGGGGA
Molecule: ribosomal RNA, 244 nt
Filed under: uncultured bacterium
Lineage: Bacteria
Description: partial 16S ribosomal RNA
Rfam family: Bacterial small subunit ribosomal RNA
Source: RNAcentral